RNAcentral lists this ribosomal RNA (253 nucleotides) under uncultured bacterium. Its description in RNAcentral is "partial 16S ribosomal RNA". It matches the Rfam family "Bacterial small subunit ribosomal RNA", at positions 524 to 776 of the family's 1533-position model. The record is from RNAcentral.
UACGUAGGGUCCAAGCGUUAUCCGGAUUUAUUGGGCGUAAAGCACAUGUAGGUGGUUUUGUAAGUCUUGUCUUAAAGCUCUGGGCUCAACUCAGAAUCUGGAUGAGAUACUGCAAGGCUAGUGGUCAGCAGGGGCAAAUGGAAUUUACGGUGUAGGAGUGAAAUCCGUUGAUAUCGUAAGGAACACCAAUGGCGAAGGCAAUUUGCUAGGCUGAUUCAGACACUGAGAUGUGAAAGCGUGGGGAGCGAACGGG